RNAcentral lists this ribosomal RNA (319 nucleotides) under Pseudomonas aeruginosa. RNAcentral's name for it is "bacterial SSU rRNA". It matches the Rfam family "Bacterial small subunit ribosomal RNA", at positions 822 to 1141 of the family's 1533-position model. The record is from RNAcentral. Lineage: Bacteria; Pseudomonadati; Pseudomonadota; Gammaproteobacteria; Pseudomonadales; Pseudomonadaceae.
GGUUGUGCCCUUGAGGCGUGGCUUCCGGAGCUAACGCGUUAAAUCGACCGCCUGGGGAGUACGGCCGCAAGGUUAAAACUCAAAUGAAUUGACGGGGGCCCGCACAAGCGGUGGAGCAUGUGGUUUAAUUCGAUGCAACGCGAAGAACCUUACCUGGUCUUGACAUCCACAGAACUUUCCAGAGAUGGAUUGGUGCCUUCGGGAACUGUGAGACAGGUGCUGCAUGGCUGUCGUCAGCUCGUGUUGUGAAAUGUUGGGUUAAGUCCCGCAACGAGCGCAACCCUUAUCCUUUGUUGCCAGCGGUUAGGCCGGGAACUCA